AGCGAACGCUGGCGGCAUGCCUAACACAUGCAAGUCGCACGGGGGGGCUUCGGCCUCCCAGUGGCGGACGGGUGAGGAACGCGUAGGGACCUGUCGAGGGGUGGGGGAUAACCGCGGGAAACUGCGGCUAAUACCGCAUGACGCCGCGGCGUGACAGCCGGGGCCAAAGGCGAAAGCCGCCCGCCGAGGGGCCUGCGUCCGAUUAGCUGGUUGGCGGGGUAGCGGCCCACCAAGGCGUCGAUCGGUAGCUGGUCUGAGAGGGUGAUCAGCCACACCGGGAGUGAGACACGGCCCGGACUCCUACGGGAGGCAGCAGUGGGGAAUAUUGGACAAUGGGCGCAAGCCUGAUCCAGCAAGGCCGCGUGGGUGAAGAAGGUCGUCGGAUUGUAAAGCCCUUUCGGCGGGGACGAUGGUGACGGUACCCGCAGAAGAAGCCCCGGCUAACUUCGUG
This 451-nucleotide ribosomal RNA is filed under the name uncultured bacterium. Its description in RNAcentral is "partial 16S ribosomal RNA". It matches the Rfam family "Bacterial small subunit ribosomal RNA", at positions 28 to 507 of the family's 1533-position model. The record is from RNAcentral.